GGCAGUUUGGCGGAGUGGUCUAACGCGCUAGACUGUGCGUAUCAUCGUAAUCAAAACUACUUUGGAACUAUUUAACUAACUUUCCCCCAGUGAACAAACACAUUCAUGUUAUCUAGUCCUUUCGAGGGCGCAGGUUCGAACCCUGCAACUGUCG
Molecule: transfer RNA, 154 nt
Filed under: Penicillium biforme
Lineage: Eukaryota; Fungi; Ascomycota; Eurotiomycetes; Eurotiales; Aspergillaceae
Description: tRNA-His
Rfam family: tRNA
About the family: Transfer RNA (tRNA) molecules are approximately 80 nucleotides in length. Their secondary structure includes four short double-helical elements and three loops (D, anti-codon, and T loops).
Source: RNAcentral